RNAcentral lists this ribosomal RNA (397 nucleotides) under uncultured bacterium. Its description in RNAcentral is "bacterial SSU rRNA". It matches the Rfam family "Bacterial small subunit ribosomal RNA", at positions 361 to 773 of the family's 1533-position model. The record is from RNAcentral.
AUUUUCGUCAAUGGGGGCAACCCUGAACGAGCAACGCCGCGUGCAGGAAGAAGGUUUUCGGAUCGUAAACUGCUUUUCUUGGGGAAGAGAAUGGACGGUACCCAAGGAAGAAGCCCCGGCUAACUACGUGCCAGCAGCCGCGGUAAUACGUAGGGGGCAAGCGUUGUCCGGAUUUAUUGGGCGUAAAGGGCACGCAGGCGGUCUGCUGCGUUCGGAGUGACAGGUGGUGGCUCAACCACCACAGGCCUCUCAAAUACGGGCAGACUUGAGGACUCGAGAGGGAUGCGGAAUUCCAGGUGGAGCGGUGAAAUGCGUAGAGAUCUGGAAGAACACCAAUGGCGAAGGCAGCAUCCUGGAGAGUAACUGACGCUCAUGUGCGAAAGCCAGGGGAGCGAAC